This 307-nucleotide ribosomal RNA is filed under the name uncultured bacterium. Its description in RNAcentral is "bacterial SSU rRNA". It matches the Rfam family "Bacterial small subunit ribosomal RNA", at positions 28 to 334 of the family's 1533-position model. The record is from RNAcentral.
GACGAACGCUGGCGGCGUGCUUAACACAUGCAAGUCGAGCGGGGACAGAUACUUCGGUAAAUGUUCUAGCGGCGGACGGGUGAGUAACGCGUGAGCAACCUUUCCCUCAGUGGGGAAUAACACAGGGAAACUUGUACUAAUACCGCAUGAGACCACAGAGCUGCAUGGCUUAGGGGUCAAAGAUUUAUCGCUGAGAGGUGGGCUCGCGUCUGAUUAGGUAGUUGGUGAGGUAACGGCCCACCAAGCCGACGAUCAGUAGCCGACCUGAGAGGGCGAUCGGCCACAUUGGGACUGAGACACGGCCCAA